UACAGAGGUCUCAAGCGUUGUUCGGAUUCAUUGGGCGUAAAGGGUGCGUAGGUGGCGGGGUAAGUCAGGUGUGAAAUCUCGGGGCUCAACCCCGAAACUGCACUUGAUACUGCCUUGCUCGAGUACUGGAGAGGAGAUUGGAAUUUACGGUGUAGCAGUGAAAUGCGUAGAUAUCAGGAGGAACACCGGUGGCGAAGGCGGAUCUCUGGGCCAUUACUGACGCUGAGGAGCGAAAGCGUGGGGAGCGAACAGG
This 253-nucleotide ribosomal RNA is filed under the name uncultured bacterium. Its description in RNAcentral is "partial 16S ribosomal RNA". It matches the Rfam family "Bacterial small subunit ribosomal RNA", at positions 524 to 776 of the family's 1533-position model. The record is from RNAcentral.